AACGAACGCUGGCGGCAUGCCUAACACAUGCAAGUCGAACGAGAUCUUCGGGUCUAGUGGCGCACGGGUGCGUAACGCGUGGGAAUCUGCCCUUUGGUUCGGAAUAACAGUUGGAAACGACUGCUAAUACCGGAUGAUGACGAAAGUCCAAAGAUUUAUCGCCAGAGGAUGAGCCCGCGUAGGAUUAGCUAGUUGGUGUGGUAAAGGCGCGCCAAGGCGACGAUCCUUAGCUGGUCUGAGAGGAUGAACAGCCACACUGGGACUGAGACACGGCCCAGACUCCGACGGGAGGCAGCAGUGGGGAAUAUUGUACAAUGGGCGAGAGCCUGAUCCAGCAAUGCCGCGUGAGUGAUGAAGGCCUUAGGGUUGUAAGGCUCUUUUACCCGGGAUGAUAAUGGCAGUACCGGUAGAAUAAGCCCCGGCUAACUCCGUGCCAGCCGCCGCCGUAA
This 449-nucleotide ribosomal RNA is filed under the name uncultured bacterium. Its description in RNAcentral is "partial 16S ribosomal RNA". It matches the Rfam family "Bacterial small subunit ribosomal RNA", at positions 29 to 523 of the family's 1533-position model. The record is from RNAcentral.